UGGGGAAUUUUGGACAAUGGGCGAAAGCCUGAUCCAGCAAUGCCGCGUGUGUGAAGAAGGCCUUCUGGUUGUAAAGCACUUUUGUCCGGAAAGAAAUCCUUGGCUCUAAUACAGUCGGGGGAUGACGGUACCGGAAGAAUAAGCACCGGCUAACUACGUGCCAGCAGCCGCGGUAAUACGUAGGGUGCAAGCGUUAAUCGGAAUUACUGGGCGUAAAGCGUGCGCAGGCGGUUUGCUAAGACCGAUGUGAAAUCCCCGGGCUCAACCUGGGAACUGCAUUGGUGACUGGCAGGCUAGAGUAUGGCAGAGGGGGGUAGAAUUCCACGUGUAGCAGUGAAAUGCGUAGAGAUGUGGAGGAAUACCGAUGGCGAAGGCAGCCCCCUGGGCCAAUACUGACGCUCAUGCACGAAAGCGUGGGGAGCAAACAGGAUUAGAUACCCCGGUAGUCCACGCCCUAAACGAUGUCAACUAGUUGUUGGGGAUUCAUUCCUUAGUAAUGUAGCUAACGCGUGAAGUUGACCGCCUGGGGAGUACGGUCGCAAGAUU
RNAcentral lists this ribosomal RNA (546 nucleotides) under uncultured bacterium. RNAcentral describes it as "partial 16S ribosomal RNA". It matches the Rfam family "Bacterial small subunit ribosomal RNA", at positions 355 to 895 of the family's 1533-position model. The record is from RNAcentral.